This 403-nucleotide ribosomal RNA is filed under the name bacterium. RNAcentral's name for it is "partial 16S ribosomal RNA". It matches the Rfam family "Bacterial small subunit ribosomal RNA", at positions 355 to 776 of the family's 1533-position model. The record is from RNAcentral.
UGGGGAAUAUUGCACAAUGGAGGGAACUCUGAUGCAGCGACGCCGCGUGAACGAAGAAGGCUUUCGAGUCGUAAAGUUCUUUUAUAUGGGAAGAUAAUGACGGUACCAUAAGAAAAAACCCCGGCUAACUACGUGCCAGCAGCCGCGGUAAUACGUAGGGGGCUAGCGUUAUCCGGAAUCACUGGGCGUAAAGGGUUCGCAGGCGGAAAUGCAAGUCAGGUGUAAAAGGCAGUAGCUUAACUACUGUAAGCAUUUGAAACUGCAUAUCUUGAGAAGAGUAGAGGUAAGUGGAAUUUUUAGUGUAGCGGUGAAAUGCGUAGAUAUUAAAAAGAAUACCGGUGGCGAAGGCGACUUACUGGGCUCAUUCUGACGCUGAGGAACGAAAGCGUGGGUAGCAAACAGG